RNAcentral lists this ribosomal RNA (473 nucleotides) under uncultured bacterium. Its description in RNAcentral is "bacterial SSU rRNA". It matches the Rfam family "Bacterial small subunit ribosomal RNA", at positions 355 to 825 of the family's 1533-position model. The record is from RNAcentral.
UGGGGAAUUGUUCGCAAUGGGCGCAAGCCUGACGACGCAACGCCGCGUGGAGGAUGAAGACCUUCGGGUCGUAAACUCCUUUCGAUCGAGACGAAUGGCCUCCGGGUGAACAAUCCGGAGGAGUGACGGUACCGAGAGAAGAAGCCCCGGCUAACUCCGUGCCAGCAGCCGCGGUAAUACGGAGGGUGCGAGCGUUAUCCGGAAUCACUGGGUUUAAAGGGUGCGUAGGCGGCUGUAUAAGUCAGUGGUGAAAGGCUGUGGCUUAACCAUGGGAUUGCCAUUGAUACUGUACGGCUUGAAUUAGGAUGAGGUUGGCGGAAUGUGACAUGUAGCGGUGAAAUGCUUAGAUAUGUCAUGGAACAUCGAUUGCGAAGGCAGCUGACUGGACCUUAAUUGACGCUGAGGCACGAAAGCGUGGGGAGCGAACAGGAUUAGAUACCCAAGUAGUCCCUGAGCGGGCUGGCAAGGCGCAU